CCUACGGGGGGCAGCAGUGAGGAAUAUUGGUCAAUGGGCGAGAGUCUGAACCAGCCAAGUAGCGUGAAGGAUGACUGCCCUAUGGGUUGUAAACUUCUUUUAUAAGGGAGUAAAAUGUGCCACGUGUGGGAUUUUGUAUGUACCAUAUGAAUAAGCAUCGGCUAACUCCGUGCCAGCAGCCGCGGUAAUACGGAGGAUCCGAGCGUUAUCCGGAUUUAUUGGGUUUAAAGGGAGCGUAGGUGGAUUGUUAAGUCAGUUGUGAAAGUUGUGGGCUCAACCGUGACAGUGCAGUUGAAACUGGCAGUCUUGAGUGCGGUAGAGGUAGGCGGAAUGCGUGGUGUAGCGGGGAAAUGCUUAGAUAUCACGAAGAACUCCGAUUGCGAAGGCAGCUCACUGGACUGCAACUGACACUGAGGCUCGAAAGUGUGGGUAUCAAACAGGAUUAGAUACCCGAGUAGUC
RNAcentral lists this ribosomal RNA (460 nucleotides) under uncultured bacterium. RNAcentral describes it as "partial 16S ribosomal RNA". It matches the Rfam family "Bacterial small subunit ribosomal RNA", at positions 338 to 795 of the family's 1533-position model. The record is from RNAcentral.